AUCAUUAGCGAGUGGUUUUCGUCGCGAGACGAGCUGCCCGACCUGUUGUCAUUCGCACUGGGGCGUGGGGGUCGGAGGCUUGGGAUUCGGGUUACCCGGAGGGGACGAAGGUUCCUGAAGGGGGCUCGGGCCCGGGCCGACCCGCCCGCGGCUCCGGCAUCAUAUACUUCGGCGGAAGAGGUAGGCGUUGACCUGCCCGCCGCCGGCCGUAACGUUUUACACUCUUGAGGAAGCUGAAGUCUGAACUUUUGGAUGAAAAAAAAAGCAAAACUUUCAACAACGGAUCUCUUGGCUCUGGCAACGAUGAAGAACGCAGCGAAACGCGAAAGGUAAUGCGAAUUGCAGAAUCAGUGAGUCAUCGAAUCUUUGAACGCACAUUGCGCCUCUCGGUAUUCCGGGAGGCACGCCUGUUCGAGCGCCAUUACAAACUCCAAGCGUGGCUUGAUGUUGGCCGACGUUCCGAGAGGGACGCGGCUGGAACGCGUUGGCGCCGCCGCCGGACCACGAGCGUAGCAAGACGAGAGUCGCAUCGCAUCGUUGGGGUCGGACGGACGGCCGCGGCAAGAGCAUUUAUGCAGCACAAGUUUGGCC
RNAcentral lists this ribosomal RNA (591 nucleotides) under Scolecobasidium icarus. RNAcentral describes it as "eukaryotic LSU rRNA". The stretch from base 269 to 421 matches the Rfam family "5.8S ribosomal RNA". Lineage: Eukaryota; Fungi; Ascomycota; Dothideomycetes; Venturiales; Sympoventuriaceae. The record is from RNAcentral.